CCGUGGUGGCGGGAUCGCGCCCGUUCUCCGGGGACGGCCCGGACGCGCGCGGCGGAUGGUGAUCCCGCGCUGACGCGGGAGCCGCGGGCC
Molecule: transfer RNA, 90 nt
Filed under: Actinomadura livida
Lineage: Bacteria; Bacillati; Actinomycetota; Actinomycetes; Streptosporangiales; Thermomonosporaceae
Description: tRNA-Arg
Source: RNAcentral